AAAGUCGUAACAAGGUUUCCGUAGGUGAACCUGCGGAAGGAUCAUUAUCGAGUUUAGGGUCUUCUGGGCCCCAUCUCCAACCCUUGUCUAUCCUACCACAUUGCUUUGGCGGGCCCGCCCUUAACCGGGCCGCUGGGGGAUAUUCGUCCCUGGCCAGCGCCCGCCAACGGCCCCCCAAAAUUCCAAUAAACAGUGAAAUGUCUAAAUCUUUACAAGAAUAAAUUUAAAACUUUCAACAACGGAUCUCUUGGUUCUG
This 256-nucleotide unclassified non-coding RNA is filed under the name Ascomycota sp. RNAcentral describes it as "partial contains small subunit ribosomal RNA, internal transcribed spacer 1, and 5.8S ribosomal RNA". The stretch from base 1 to 47 matches the Rfam family "Eukaryotic small subunit ribosomal RNA", at positions 1785 to 1831 of the family's 1831-position model. Lineage: Eukaryota; Fungi; Ascomycota. The record is from RNAcentral.